CUCCCCAAGUUCUAUUUCAACAAAUUCUCUCAAAUUGUUUACUUCCUCCAAAAUACCUUCAACAUUGAAAGUACCACUUGCACUAUCUUUGGAGCUAGCACCUUGCUCAAAUCUAAGCUUUCUACCAUCAUCAUCUUUUUGCAAGCUAGUGAUUGGGAUCAUAUUGGUCCUAAGUUUCUCGGAUUCCAAAGGUAUCCCAAAGUCUCUAAAUAGACCAUUUAGAAGAUGAGCAUAGGGUAGCUUAUAGGGUGGCU
RNAcentral lists this unclassified non-coding RNA (254 nucleotides) under Hevea brasiliensis (rubber tree). Lineage: Eukaryota; Viridiplantae; Streptophyta; Magnoliopsida; Malpighiales; Euphorbiaceae. The record is from RNAcentral.